This 75-nucleotide transfer RNA is filed under the name Candidatus Nomurabacteria bacterium GWB1_40_6. RNAcentral describes it as "tRNA-Thr". It matches the Rfam family "tRNA". From Rfam's summary of the family: Transfer RNA (tRNA) molecules are approximately 80 nucleotides in length. Their secondary structure includes four short double-helical elements and three loops (D, anti-codon, and T loops). Further hydrogen bonds mediate the characteristic L-shaped molecular structure. tRNAs have two regions of fundamental functional importance: the anti-codon, which is responsible for specific mRNA codon recognition, and the 3' end, to which the tRNAs corresponding amino acid is attached (by aminoacyl-tRNA synthetases). tRNAs cope with the degeneracy of the genetic code in two manners: having more than one tRNA (with a specific anti-codon) for a particular amino acid; and 'wobble' base-pairing, i.e. permitting non-standard base-pairing at the 3rd anti-codon position. Lineage: Bacteria; Candidatus Nomuraibacteriota. The record is from RNAcentral. RNAcentral also lists the same sequence under 1 other name.
GCCGUCGUAGCUUAGCGGUAAAGCACGUCAUUGGUAAUGACGAGACCAAGGGUUCGAUCCCCUUCGACGGCUCCA